This 253-nucleotide ribosomal RNA is filed under the name uncultured bacterium. Its description in RNAcentral is "partial 16S ribosomal RNA". It matches the Rfam family "Bacterial small subunit ribosomal RNA", at positions 524 to 776 of the family's 1533-position model. The record is from RNAcentral.
UACGUAGGUGGCAAGCGUUGUCCGGAAUUAUUGGGCGUAAAGCGCGCGCAGGCGGUGCUCUAAGUUAGAUGUGAAAACUCUGGGCUCAACCCAGAGCCUGCAUCUAAAACUGGAGUGCUAGAGUUCUGGAGGGGGUAGCGGAAUUCCUGGUGUAGCGGUGAAAUGCGUAGAUAUCAGGAGGAACACCGGUGGCGAAGGCGGCUACCUGGACAGAAACUGACGCUGAGGCGCGAAAGCUAGGGGAGCAAACAGG